AGAGAGAAGCUUGCUUCUCUUGAGAGCGGCGGACGGGUGAGUAAUGCCUAGGAAUCUGCCUAGUGGUGGGGGAUAACGUUCGGAAACGGACGCUAAUACCGCAUACGUCCUACGGGAGAAAGCGGGGGAUCUUCGGACCUCGCGCCAUUAGAUGAGCCUAGGUCGGAUUAGCUAGUUGGUGAGGUAAUGGCUCACCAAGGCGACGAUCCGUAACUGGUCUGAGAGGAUGAUCAGUCACACUGGAACUGAGACACGGUCCAGACUCCUACGGGAGGCAGCAGUGGGGAAUAUUGGACAAUGGGCGAAAGCCUGAUCCAGCCAUGCCGCGUGUGUGAAGAAGGUCUUCGGAUUGUAAAGCACUUUAAGUUGGGAGGAAGGGCAGUAACCUAAUACGUUAUUGUUUUGACGUUACCGACAGAAUAAGCACCGGCUAACUUCGUGCCAGCAGCCGCGGUAAUACGAAGGGUGCAAGCGUUAAUCGGAAUUACUGGGCGUAAAGCGCGCGUAGGUGGUUCAGUAAGUUGGAAGUGAAAUCCCCGGGCUCAACCUGGGAACUGCUUUCAAAACUGCUGAGCUAGAGUACGGUAGAGGGUGGUGGAAUUUCCUGUGUAGCGGUGAAAUGCGUAGAUAUCAGGAGGAACACCAAUGGCGAAGGCAGGUCUCUGG
Molecule: ribosomal RNA, 666 nt
Filed under: uncultured bacterium
Lineage: Bacteria
Description: bacterial SSU rRNA
Rfam family: Bacterial small subunit ribosomal RNA
Source: RNAcentral